Canis lupus familiaris (dog) is the source of this 338-nucleotide long non-coding RNA. RefSeq lists it as uncharacterized. The record is from RefSeq and is a predicted model, not a curated record. The transcript has 3 exons. Lineage: Eukaryota; Metazoa; Chordata; Mammalia; Carnivora; Canidae.
CUUCUUAGUGUUGAACAGCAUUCUGCUAGAUGAAAAUACCUAAUUCUGUUUACCAGUUCUGACGGAUAUUUAUGUUCUCUCCACGUGUCCCAGGAUCGGCCUGUUGUGAACAAAGCUGCUCUGGACACUUACCUACCAGUCUGCGUGCGUUACUCUAAAAUGUACCCAGGACUCUGGUUUCACUCAGCGAAGGGGAGGUCAACAGGUCAGCAGGCAACCACAGCUGAAGUCACCAUUACAAAGGAUCCUGGGGGGCAUAAAGAAGCUACAUGAAGUUAUACUGGAUGACAGACUCGGCUAAGUUCCCAGCUGACAAUUGACAGGAAUUUUUAGACAUG